RNAcentral lists this unclassified non-coding RNA (1245 nucleotides) under Hevea brasiliensis (rubber tree). The record is from RNAcentral. Lineage: Eukaryota; Viridiplantae; Streptophyta; Magnoliopsida; Malpighiales; Euphorbiaceae.
AAUCUAAGUAGGAAUGAAUUAAAGAUAAUUAAUCUAAAUAGAAUAAGAUAACAUAAAUAUAAUAGAAAAUUUAGAUAGAAUAGAAAAAUAACUAAUUCUAAUUGAAAUUGGAUAACUAAUAAAUAUAUCUAUUUAAAUAAAAUAAAAUAAAUGUUCCGCAUCAUAGCUACCUUGUAAACGAUUGAAGAAUCCAAUAUUUUCAUGUUCUAUUUUUCCAAAGGUUAUGCAAGUUCGCCAUGGUGCUUGGAUGACCUAGAGAAGAAACAGGUGGUUUGACUGAUUUUCUACCAAGUAGAUCCAUCUGACCUACAUUAAAGAGCUUGGAAAAUUUUUAGAUGAACGUGGAGAAGGUGCAAAGUUUAAUAUCUGUCUUGUCAGAAGCUGCCAGUCUAUCUAGAUGCAUCAUUGGCCUUCUAACUCACAGGAAAUUGCUGGAGAUAUUUGGAAGACAUUGAAUAAGAGAUGUCCUCUACUUCCCCUAUAGAUUUUGUUGGAAUUGAUUCGCGCAUUGAGAGAGUUGAAUCCUUGCUAUGCAUUGGAUCAUUGGAUGUUCGCAUUGUUGGAAUAUGGGGAAUGGGUGGUAUAGGAAAGACGACUAUUGCUGAAGCUGUGUUCAAGCGUAAUCUUGCUCAAUUUGAAAGCUACCACUUCUUUGCAAAUGUGAGGGAAGAGUCAGAAAAACAUGGGUUUUUACAUUUACGAAGUGAGCUUCUUUCUAAAAUAUGUGGGAAAGGAAAUUUUAAUAGAAGAACUCCCAAUUUCGGGUUCUCUUUCGGCAAGAAUAGGCUUUGUCGAAAAAAGGCCCUUAUUGUUCUUGAUGAUGUGAAUAGCUCAAUGCAAUUGCAAGAACUGUUAGUUGAUUCACGUCAUUUGUUUGGCCAAGGAAGCAAAAUCAUUGUAACAAGUAGGGAUAGGCAAGUGCUCAAAAGUGGAGUUGAUGAAAUAUAUGAGGUUGAGAGCUUAAAUCGUGAUGAAUCUCUUCUACUCCUUAGCGUGCAUGCUUUUAACCAAAAUCACCCCUUCCAAGAGUUUAUGCAGUUAUCAAAGAGUGCAAUCUAUUAUGCAAAAGGCAAUCCACUAGCCCUUAUAGUUUUGGGUUGCUUUUUGUUUGAAAAAAGGAAACAGGAUUGGGAAAUUGCAUUGAAUAAACUGAGAAGAACAUCAAAUGUGGGAAUAAAGAAUGUCUUAAGAUUAAGUUAUGAUGGAUUAGAAACCGAAGACAAGGAAAUAUUUCUUGAUAUUGCA